CCCAGGGCUGGCAGGGCUCACGGUGGAGCGCUCGGGGCCCGUUCCGUGCGGGGGCUCGUCGUGGAGGAGCGGGACCAGCUGCAGAGCCCGUUGCGGCCGAAGUGGCGCGAGCUGGUGCCGGCUGUGCCAAAGCAGAGGAACCGCCCGGGCCGCUGGAGGUGCUGAGGAAGGGCCGACGAGUUGGUGGUUACUGGGACAACCCGUGGGCUAUAGCUGAGCUCCACCCGCCACCUGUCCAAGGAGCUGCAGCUGAGGAACAAAGUGAAGUGGGAGCAGAAUGCCGGGCUGCAGCACCAGAGGGAGCGUUGGAAGGAGCGCAGCUUGGAGGUGGCGGUGCUGGAGAAGCGUGUCAGUGAGCUGCCAGAGCGCCUGGGGAAGAGAAAGGCAGCUCUGCCCCAGGAGGAGAAGGUACCAGUUUCUUCAGGUGGGAUUUCCCCACAGCCAGUGGCUUCUGCUCCAAGGGGAGUGGCAGCAGUAGGUCCUUCUGUCCAGUCCUCUACUAUUGCUUCCAGACCGGACCUUUGGGUGAAAGCAGCAUUCUCAGGUGGGACACGAGCCUUGCUGGGCAGCUGAGGGGCUGCUAAAAUCACAAACUCCACCCAACAUGGGAGCUGGGAACAGUUCACAAGCUGAAGCUCCUGCAGGUGAGAGCUUACGAUAACUAGUUCUUCUCCGGACAUGUUUUGGUUCCCCUCACAGCUCUGUUUUGGUGUUUCGGGUUCUUUUUUCUGUUUGUUUUUAAAGCAAAGACUUAUUUGCGAUGUGGGUCUCACUACUUGCAAUUUUUUUUUUUAGUUCUCUUAGUGAGCAAUCUGAGUUGUUAGACAGCGUGGACUGCAGAAGGAUUUUUCAGUAAACUGAUUGUUUUUUAAUUUAUUGUAAAGCUCUCCUAAAAACUCCACACUGGUGUGCGUUCACUGCACCUGCACUGGGGGCUGCAGGGAGAAGCAGCUGGGGGGGGGGUUUGCUCUCUGCCCCUUUCCCACCUUCCCCUCUGUUCCCUGGGUCUCCAGGAAAUCCCAGCUCCCCUUGGCUUCUCCAGGGUCCUCGCAGCAGGGUUUCUAAGUGUGGCCCUGAGAUUUUCUGGCCUUGGAACUGAUGGCUGUUUCGGGGCAGGUCUCACCGGGCAGUCUGUCUUUUAACGCUUGCCGGGGCAGGAGAAUUGCGGCGGAAGAAAGCAAAGGAAGCCCAGAGCCUGGAGGAGGCAGGUGCUGAUUG
Corapipo altera (White-ruffed manakin) is the source of this 1218-nucleotide long non-coding RNA. RefSeq lists it as uncharacterized. The transcript is spliced from 4 exons. The record is from RefSeq and is a predicted model, not a curated record. NCBI's taxonomy places the organism in Eukaryota, Metazoa, Chordata, Aves, Passeriformes, Pipridae.